Molecule: ribosomal RNA, 284 nt
Filed under: Lactiplantibacillus plantarum
Lineage: Bacteria; Bacillati; Bacillota; Bacilli; Lactobacillales; Lactobacillaceae
Description: Lactobacillus plantarum partial 16S ribosomal RNA
Rfam family: Bacterial small subunit ribosomal RNA
Source: RNAcentral
UGCAAGUCGAACGAACUCUGGUAUUGAUUGGUGCUUGCAUCAUGAUUUACAUUUGAGUGAGUGGCGAACUGGUGAGUAACACGUGGGAAACCUGCCCAGAAGCGGGGGAUAACACCUGGAAACAGAUGCUAAUACCGCAUAACAACUUGGACCGCAUGGUCCGAGUUUGAAAGAUGGCUUCGGCUAUCACUUUUGGAUGGUCCCGCGGCGUAUUAGCUAGAUGGUGAGGUAACGGCUCACCAUGGCAAUGAUACGUAGCCGACCUGAGAGGGUAAUCGGCCACU